RNAcentral lists this ribosomal RNA (497 nucleotides) under uncultured bacterium. RNAcentral's name for it is "partial 16S ribosomal RNA". It matches the Rfam family "Bacterial small subunit ribosomal RNA", at positions 28 to 507 of the family's 1533-position model. The record is from RNAcentral.
GAUGAACGCUGGCGGCGUGCCUAAUACAUGCAAGUCGAGCGAACAGACGAGGAGCUUGCUCCUCUGACGUUAGCGGCGGACGGGUGAGUAACACGUGGAUAACCUACCUAUAAGACUGGGAUAACUUCGGGAAACCGGAGCUAAUACCGGAUAAUAUAUUGAACCGCAUGGUUCAAUAGUGAAAGACGGUUUUGCUGUCACUUAUAGAUGGAUCCGCGCCGCAUUAGCUAGUUGGUAAGGUAACGGCUUACCAAGGCAACGAUGCGUAGCCGACCUGAGAGGGUGAUCGGCCACACUGGAACUGAGACACGGUACAGACUCCUACGGGAGGCAGCAGUAGGGAAUCUUCCGAGAUGGGCGAAAGCCUGACGGAGCAACGCCGCGUGAAUGAUGAAGGUCUUCGGAUCGUAAAACUCUGUUAUUAGGGAAGAACAAAUGUGUAAGUAACUAUGCACGUCUUGACGGUACCUAAUCAGAAAGCCACGGCUAACUACGUG